AGAAUUUUAAGUUAAAAAAACUAAUAGCCUUCAAAGCUUUAAAUAAGAAUACCACUUAAAUUCUG
This 65-nucleotide transfer RNA is filed under the name Glycera unicornis. RNAcentral describes it as "tRNA-Trp". Lineage: Eukaryota; Metazoa; Annelida; Polychaeta; Phyllodocida; Glyceridae. The record is from RNAcentral.